Long non-coding RNA from Priapulus caudatus, 196 nucleotides. RefSeq lists it as uncharacterized. The transcript is spliced from 3 exons. The record is from RefSeq and is a predicted model, not a curated record. Lineage: Eukaryota; Metazoa; Priapulida; Priapulimorpha; Priapulimorphida; Priapulidae.
UCCAUGGACGUUACGUCGAAAGUUCUGGAUGACGAGGAAUCGGCGACUAUCACGGCCGGCGCGAUCGUCACGAUGGAGGUGACGCUACGCCGACGCCACCUGGAGGAGCUGUUCUAGAAGGAACCCGAUGUGCAGCACGUAGAUGAUGAGAAGGAAGAGAUGGAGGAGGAGAAGCAGGCGGCAGCGGCGGCGGCGG